CCUACGGGUGGCUGCAGUAGGGAAUUUUCCUCAAUGAGCGCAAGCCUGAACGAGCAACGCCGCGUGAACGAUGAAGGUCUUCGGAUCGUAAAGUGCUGUUGUAGGGGAAGAACAUCGGAGAUAGGAAAUGCUUUCUGACUGAUAUUACCUUGCCAGAAAGCGAUGGCUAACUACGUGCCAGCAGCCGCGGUAAUACAUAGGUGGCAAGCGUUAUCCGGAAUGAUUGGGCGUAAAGGGUGCGUAGGCCGCCUGCUAAGUCUGGAGUGAAAUGUAGGGGCUCAACCCCGACAGGCUUUGGAUACUGGCAGGCUAGAGAGAGGGAGAGGGAGGUGGAAUUCCAUGUGUAGCGGUAAAAUGCGUAGAUAUAUGGAAGAACACCAAUGGCGAAGGCGGCCGACUGG
RNAcentral lists this ribosomal RNA (401 nucleotides) under uncultured bacterium. Its description in RNAcentral is "partial 16S ribosomal RNA". It matches the Rfam family "Bacterial small subunit ribosomal RNA", at positions 338 to 732 of the family's 1533-position model. The record is from RNAcentral.